UCAGCUAUAAUAUUACUGUAGGAUUGAACUUCACAAGGCACCCACCAGUAUUGUAAUUAUUUUUCUUAGAAAACAAAUGACUAAAUGUAUAAUAUUCAUCAUACUUACACAGUAGACAGUAGUUCUUCUACAGUUCUUGCUAUUAGUACUUUUCUAUGUAAAUCAAUUGUAUUAGUGUCGUGUAAAAAUGAUUGGAUAUCGACUCAAAAACAAAGAUGGAAAACCUGAGUACGGAGAAGAAGAUUCAAAUUUUGAAUUGACCUUUUAUUCAACUUUUGUUUACAAGCCAUAAACGUCACUGGAUUUACAAGGUAAUUAGGUCCUGAUUACAAAGUAUCGUAACUUAAUGUAUAUCUACAUGAGAAAUUUCAAACAUCAAUACUUGUGAGAUCGACUGAAAGCAGAAAGAGUACUUGAGUAUCACAGUGCUUAAUGUCAAUACGAGGAAGCAAUCAUCAUAUUAGUACUUCGCAAAAUGAGUGCUAAGACAUUGGCAAGCUGUGGAGCACGAGAAACAAAAAAACCAAUUUCGGUCAACUGUUGGCUGUUCAGUAAGAUUGUAUAACUGCUCUGAACCUAAUACAAAAAUUAAGGUAUUUUGUUGAAUGCAACGAUAAGUAAUCUCUUACUCUUACUAGUCAACUGUUCGGCAAAGUAAACUAGAGAAGUUUAUUGACAGAUAUUUAAAUGGGUAUUUUGAAAAAAAGUUGAAAAAACGGCCAACAUUACAGCUAGUUUACUGUCUGCAACAACAAACAUUUUACAACUUCAAAUUUUAGUGAUAACGCUGAUGACAAUAUCACCAAGAAGAUUGUAUCCAACUAAAUAAUUUUUCUUGAGAGGAUAAAACUGUUUCCUGUUCUGAUGCAUGGAUGAAAAAGAUAAACGAUUAUAAGCGCCCUUGACCUGCUCGGAGAACUUUUUUAUACGUUUUUUUUACCAACAUCUGUUAAAACAUUAUUUAUGGAAUCGUUAAUGUUUAUACAGCGUUUGCUGGACAAAGAGCCAUACGAGCUGGAAGUGAGCGACCUGGAUACAAGUAUGAUAAACUAUGUCUUUUAUGACUUAGAAAACAUUUAUUACCAAAUAGUGGUGUCACUGUAAUUAUUCAACUACAACAAAUUAUGCAAAGCGUAAAAGAUACGUGUUUAUUUGUUAAACACGAUGAAAUAGUUUAAAAUGCCAUUUAAUUUGUGCAAAGGAGACACAAGAAUCAUCCUUAAAUGCAAUGUGUGCAUAAGUCUGUCGGUGCUGAUGAAGAUCUAUUAGUUCACCCCCGAUCAAUUUUCACCUAUGUUAAUCGAUCGCAUUUGUACGCAGUGAUAAAAUAUGAUAAUUACCGACUGUUAAUUUUAAUUAAUUUACAUUACGACAUUAACAAUUUUGAUGAAUUGUUGUCUUUUUUAAACAUUUAGACAAAUCAUGUUUUUAAAAAAAUGUAUAAAGUAAACUGGUUUAAGACCCAAACUCUUAUUUAACAGAACCUUAUUUCCAUUGUCGCAAUCUAAUAUGAAUGUACAAUUUAUUUUAGGUACUUAUUUGUGUGUUGAAUAUGUUAUUGAAUAUACUGGUAAAAACCAACGUGGUAUACCAAACUUGUUUUACGAUCUGUGUUAAAUUUUCUAUUUUGCUUUAACAACUUUACCUAUCAAGUAAUAUUAAAUUUUUGUCGUGUCGUUUAUGCUAACAAACAAAAUUAUUUUUUUACUGUUGAAGAAUUAUUGUACUUUUGCAUUGUUACCAUCGAUUUAAUAAUGUAUUUAGUUUAUAACAUGUGCCAUUUAAAAUUUAAAGGGGAAUAUAUUCUAAUAAAGCAAAACUAGUUUUAAUGUAAUAGUUGAAUUUAAUACAAUUAAGUAUUUAACUGAUUUUUGAACAGUCCUUAUUACUAGAUACGGCUUUACACUAUUUUUCCACCCCAACAUUGUUUAGUCAUGUACUUUGAAUUAUUUA
Adelges cooleyi (spruce gall adelgid) is the source of this 1953-nucleotide long non-coding RNA. RefSeq lists it as uncharacterized. The transcript has 8 exons. The record is from RefSeq and is a predicted model, not a curated record. NCBI's taxonomy places the organism in Eukaryota, Metazoa, Arthropoda, Insecta, Hemiptera, Adelgidae.